UGAAGCUGGAUUCGCUAGUAAUCGCGCAUCAGCCAUGGCGCGGUGAAUACGUUCCCGGGCCUUGUACACACCGCCCGUCAAGCCAUGGGAGCCGGGGGGUGCUUGAAGUGCGUCGCCGCGAGGCGCGCCCUAGAGCAAAAACCGGUGACUGGGGCUAAGUCGUAACAAGGUACC
Molecule: ribosomal RNA, 174 nt
Filed under: uncultured bacterium
Lineage: Bacteria
Description: partial 16S ribosomal RNA
Rfam family: Bacterial small subunit ribosomal RNA
Source: RNAcentral